AAUAGAUACCCUGGUAGUCCAUGCCGUAAACGUUGGGCACUAGGUGUGGGGACCAUUCCACGGUCUCCGUGCCGCAGCUAACGCAUUAAGUGCCCCGCCUGGGGAGUACGGCCGCAAGGCUAAAACUCAAAGGAAUUGACGGGGGCCCGCACAAGCGGCGGAGCAUGCGGAUUAAUUCGAUGCAACGCGAAGAACCUUACCAAGGCUUGACAUGCACCGGAAACACUCAGAGAUGGGUGCCCCGCAAGGUCGGUGCACAGGUGGUGCAUGGUUGUCGUCAGCUCGUGUCGUGAGAUGUUGGGUUAAGUCCCGCAACGAGCGCAACCCUGUCCCAUGUUGCCAGCGGGUUAUGCCGGGGACUCAUGGGAGACUGCCGGGGUCAACUCGGAGGAAGGUGGGGAUGACGUCAAAUCAUCAUGCCCCUUAUGUCUUGGGCUUCACGCAUGCUACAAUGGCCGGUACAGAGGGCUGCGAUACCGUAAGGUGGAGCGAAUCCCAAAAAGCCGGUCUCAGUUCGGAUUGGGGU
This 526-nucleotide ribosomal RNA is filed under the name uncultured bacterium. RNAcentral describes it as "bacterial SSU rRNA". It matches the Rfam family "Bacterial small subunit ribosomal RNA", at positions 777 to 1304 of the family's 1533-position model. The record is from RNAcentral.